UUGCACACAGGCGGUGGUGAGAGGUUGUGUGGUCUUUACUGGGACGUGUGCCCAAAGUCAGCAUGCCACUGCAUGAGCAGGGGAUGUGCCUAACACAGCAGUGGAUGCCUGCUGACGCAGAGGUGAAGACAUCAACAACCAGUGGCCCCCGUUGUUGAUCAGACUGAACUACAAGGACCGAGCAUGAUGAGCAGAGGGUCAGGUUACCUGGAAUUCCAUCUUGAGUAAAGCAGAGCUGUGGCUGGAAAUCCCAAAGUCCGAGACAAGAGGUGGAUUUUUCAUUGGCUUCAAGUUGUUGUUUUCUUCAUUUUUUAUAUAACAGAAAACCCCAGCAUGGUGAAUGGAUGUUGCAUUUCACAUCUGCUCUGAGUUAUGCUACAGAAGGGAACCCACCCCUUCUCCAGUGGAUCAACAGGGUCCCCAG
This is a long non-coding RNA of Pezoporus flaviventris, 424 nucleotides long. RefSeq lists it as uncharacterized. The record is from RefSeq and is a predicted model, not a curated record. The transcript is spliced from 4 exons. Lineage: Eukaryota; Metazoa; Chordata; Aves; Psittaciformes; Psittacidae.